Molecule: ribosomal RNA, 469 nt
Filed under: uncultured bacterium
Lineage: Bacteria
Description: bacterial SSU rRNA
Rfam family: Bacterial small subunit ribosomal RNA
Source: RNAcentral
GAUGAACGCUAGCGGCAGGCCUAAUACAUGCAAGUCGAACGGUGUCUUCGGACAUAGUGGCGCACGGGUGCGUAACACGUAUGCAACCUACCUUACAUUGGGGGAUAGCCUUUCGAAAGGGAGAUUAAUACCGCAUAAGACAGUAGCUGGGCAUCCAGCAGCUGUUAAAGAUUUAUCGAUGUAAGCUGGGCAUGCGUCCAAUUAGCUAGUUGGUGAGGUAACGGCUCACCAAGGCAAUGAUUGGUAGGGGAACUGAGAGGUCAAUCCCCCACACUGGCACUGAGAUACGGGCCAGACUCCUACGGGAGGCAGCAGUAGGGAAUAUUGGGCAAUGGACGCAAGUCUGACCCAGCCAUGCCGCGUGCAGGAUGAAGGCGUUAUGCGUUGUAAACUGCUUUUAUACAGGAAGAAACGACUCUUGCGAGGGGCAUUGACGGUACUGUAUGAAUAAGCACCGGCUAACUCCGUG